This 1629-nucleotide long non-coding RNA is filed under the name Pomacea canaliculata. RNAcentral describes it as "uncharacterized LOC112557969". The record is from RNAcentral. Lineage: Eukaryota; Metazoa; Mollusca; Gastropoda; Architaenioglossa; Ampullariidae.
CUUGUACAGAACUGUGUUUCAGAGUUGAUACAAUAAGGUUGGGUGAGUUACCUGUACGAGAGAGAGAGAGAAAAAAAAAAGCUGACGACCACUCAGAAUGCUGGAGGAAAUCUGUCGCCAUCUGUCAUUCCGUUGAAACCCGACGUCAGCAUCCCUCAUCAGACGGCGGAGAUGAUUGAGGAUUUUUUUCUCCGAAGUCCUGCUUGCAAGAUGGCUGCCGCUGGUGUCCUCCUGUCUCUUAUUUUCCUCUUCUCUGACAUCGCAGUCGCCCAAGCACAAGGUAGACAAUGGUGCUACGUGUGUCACACGACUCCGUUCUCCAACGACUGUAUGUCCAAUCCCGGCUCUUUGCACGACUCCAGACUGGAAGUGGAGAGCAUAAUAGAUAUGGGGACAACAGCACGGACCCUAAAACUGUCAGCAACGUCGGCUUCUGUCCCCCCUCCCUGCCCUACUGCACCAUCGAGGAAAUCGUCGUUGAUAAUAUGUCAAGCUCUUUUACAGAGACUGUUCUGACGGCGAAAGAUUUUCUGUUGCCAUCAACGGCAGCAGACUAGAUGACCCCCAGCCUGACAACAUCACCCACUGUGCCUUCAUACUGCAGUUCAUGGGUCAAGUGUGCAUCACCCUCUGUAGCGGACACUUCUGUAACGGACCAAACAACGCCGGCACCACCUUGGGUACACACUGGUCUCCCACAUGUCUUCUCUUGUUGUCCUCGCGAAGUAUGCGCUUUGAAGACAAGCAGCCAAGGACAAUUAUAAUGGGAUCUUUAACAAAAGUACUGAAGUCACAUAGAGGGUUUAGAUGGAUACAACAUGGAUAUAUCAUGUUUAGAAACAAGGGUACACCCGGAUCUUGGACAUGAACAACACUUUAUUUAUUGACGGGAGAGAGGAACCCUGCAAUGGUUGAAAGCUCUUUCACGAAUAUCACAAAAGACUUGCCGAUCUUGCAUAGCAAAAGUUUUCAGGUUUUCCAGAACCUUCAGAGAUGAUGGACAAAAGGAGUAGUAAUCGAAAAAGGGUGUGUGUGUGUUAGAGUGAGAGAGAGAGAGAUAUUCAUAUACAUAAACAUACAUGUGGUAUCCUUAAUACGUAGUAUAUGUGUAGAUAUAGUGCUUCUGAUGUGAAUGUAUAAGUGGUGAGAUUUAAAUAUAUAAACAUACAUGUAGUGUGCACUUUUUCUAAUAUAAUACGUGUUAUAUAUUUAAAUAUAGUGCUUUGAUGUGGAUGUUUAAGUAUAUAUAUAUAUGUGUGUGUGUGCGCGCGCAAACGAUUGUUUUUGUAAUCGGCGUAUUUUGGAAUAAACUUUAGAAAAUUGUAAUAUACCAUAUAAACAUAUUGUCAUUUAUAUCAACUUAGCUGAAGUGACGCCGUUACUUUCUAUCUAUGACUAAAAGUAGGAUUACUCAUGAGUCGUUUAUUUUAUUUCACGUCGAACAAAUUUGUUAUAGUGAAUCCCAAAAUGGUGUGUAACUGAGAAGUUUGUAUUUUUCAUUGAUUGUCAAAAGUCAUGUGUAAGCAGAAACAUUCAGGCCUGUUAGUUCUUAGAUAAGAACGUGCUAGAUAUGCGACUACUCUGAUUUUCAAUUUGACCCUAUCAAAUAAAUUAUACUUGCCACCUAUA